RNAcentral lists this ribosomal RNA (727 nucleotides) under Bacillus sp. Bac19D1. RNAcentral describes it as "bacterial SSU rRNA". It matches the Rfam family "Bacterial small subunit ribosomal RNA", at positions 34 to 744 of the family's 1533-position model. The record is from RNAcentral. Lineage: Bacteria; Bacillati; Bacillota; Bacilli; Caryophanales; Bacillaceae.
AGCUGGCGGCGUGCCUAUCAUGCAACUCGAGCGAAUGGAUUAAGAGCUUGCUCUUAUGAAGUUAGCGGCGGACGGGUGAGUAACACGUGGGUAACCUGCCCAUAAGACUGGGAUAACUCCGGGAAACCGGGGCUAAUACCGGAUAACAUUUUGAACCGCAUGGUUCGAAAUUGAAAGGCGGCUUCGGCUGUCACUUAUGGAUGGACCCGCGUCGCAUUAGCUAGUUGGUGAGGUAACGGCUCACCAAGGCAACGAUGCGUAGCCGACCUGAGAGGGUGAUCGGCCACACUGGGACUGAGACACGGCCCAGACUCCUACGGGAGGCAGCAGUAGGGAAUCUUCCGCAAUGGACGAAAGUCUGACGGAGCAACGCCGCGUGAGUGAUGAAGGCUUUCGGGUCGUAAAACUCUGUUGUUAGGGAAGAACAAGUGCUAGUUGAAUAAGCUGGCACCUUGACGGUACCUAACCAGAAAGCCACGGCUAACUACGUGCCAGCAGCCGCGGUAAUACGUAGGUGGCAAGCGUUAUCCGGAAUUAUUGGGCGUAAAGCGCGCGCAGGUGGUUUCUUAAGUCUGAUGUGAAAGCCCACGGCUCAACCGUGGAGGGUCAUUGGAAACUGGGAGACUUGAGUGCAGAAGAGGAAAGUGGAAUUCCAUGUGUAGCGGUGAAAUGCGUAGAGAUAUGGAGAACACCAGUGGCGAAGGCGACUUUCUGGUCUGUAACUGAC